UACGUAGGUGGCAAGCGUUAUCCGGGAUUACUGGGCGUAAAGCGCACGCAUGCGGUCUUUUAAGUUUGACGUGAAAGCUCUCGGCUUAACUGGGAGAGGUCGUUGAACACAGGGAGACUUGAGGAAAUGAGAGGGGUGUAGAAUUCCCGGUGUAGUGGUGGAAUGCGUAGAUAUCGGGGGGAAUACCAGUGGCGAAAGCGGCACCCUAGCAUUUUUCUGACGCUCAUGUGCGAAAGCGUGGGGAGCGAACGGG
This 253-nucleotide ribosomal RNA is filed under the name uncultured bacterium. RNAcentral's name for it is "partial 16S ribosomal RNA". It matches the Rfam family "Bacterial small subunit ribosomal RNA", at positions 524 to 776 of the family's 1533-position model. The record is from RNAcentral.